AUGAGAAAAUCAACAAAAAUGGAUUUUCGUUUUGUUUCUUUACAAGUGUGUUCUUGUUUCAGUUUUUUGUUGCCUGCAUUGCAUUCCAGUGCUCAAAAGGGCAGUGCUGCUGCUGAUUCAUCAAUGCAUUCCUCUUACUGCGCUCCCCAUUUUUCCAUUAGUAGUAUGGUAAAUAUGUUAAUCAAGUGUGGUUUAGCUCAUAAACUAAUGGUGGAAUCAUGCCAUUUCCAUGGCCAUGUCUGUGUUUUGUUUUUCUGGUGGAGUUGUUUAUCCCAUUUUCUCCAAUCAAACAGAUUGCAAGAUUCAAGCAUACCUACCUCAUGGGACUAUGAGAUCUAG
This 339-nucleotide ribosomal RNA is filed under the name Triticum aestivum (bread wheat). RNAcentral's name for it is "partial small subunit ribosomal RNA". Lineage: Eukaryota; Viridiplantae; Streptophyta; Magnoliopsida; Poales; Poaceae. The record is from RNAcentral.